UCAGAGAGAAGAGAAGGGAUGACAGGAGAGAGGCGGGCAGAACUCAGGUAAGUUCUCUGCUGGGACCUUGCCUCCUUCCCUUGACUCCAGGACCCUCCAGCCUACCCAGUCCCAGGCACCUGGAAGAAGCUCUCCACAUGCUCCCUUGGGGCCUCCUCUCGGAGCGCAGGAUACGUAUACUUGCCCAUCAUAUCAUAGAUGGAUUUCAUGAUAUCAAGCAUUUCCUGUUAGGCAAGAGAGAAAAGGAUCCCUCCUCAGAGCCUCCAGCCUCCAAACCAGGAAGACUAGAGCCUAGGGCAGACCUCACCCCUUGCUGGUGAUGCACGUGUGGGUCACAUUUUCCUCCUAAGGGCUCUUUGAACCUCCCCUCACACAUAGAAGCUCUCCAACUCUUCAGUCUCCCCACACCUCCUUGGUGAUGCAGCCAUCCUUGUUGAGGUCAUACAGAUUGAAGGCCCAGUUUAGCCUGUCAUCUAUGGUUCCCCGAAGAAUCACCGACAAACCAGCCACGAAGUCCUGGGAAGGAGAGAGGAGGGAACUGGUUCUUCAGAUACCCUUAACCCAAUCCCCUUUCUGGGUUUGGCCUGUGGAUCUUGGCCCUGAUGCUCCAGGAAACAGGCCUCCCUGACCCACCUCCUCCAGCUCACCUCGAAACUGACAGAGCCAUCAUGGUUGGUGUCAAAGGCAUUGAAGAGGAAAGUGGCAUAUGUGCUGGAGUCUGUAGGGUAAGCGUGGAUAAGUUUGGCUUUCAGACAGGAGAGGACUUCCUACCCCACACCCCUCUUUAUCAUUUGGCAUUCCCAGCCCCUCCAGAACCCUCUCCCCAACUCAGCCUAGAGAUGGACAGCUGCUUCCUCUCAGGCCUUGUCCCCUCACCUCCUUGAGGAAAGAACUGAGAGUAAAUCUGCUUGAAGUUCUCCUCGUUGACAAUUCCGCUGGGACAUUCCUGGGGGGCGGAAGGGGGGUUAGAAACCAGACUGAGAGCAGAAACAAAACCCCCUUCCACUCACCACCACCUACUCUAUGCCAGAGACUCC
This 1037-nucleotide long non-coding RNA is filed under the name Lynx pardinus (Iberian lynx). Lineage: Eukaryota; Metazoa; Chordata; Mammalia; Carnivora; Felidae. The record is from RNAcentral.